UCAUCAAAAAUCAUAAAAAUGAAAAGACGAAUGACUUCCACAGCCACUAAUGAGAAAACGAGGGCGUUUAGUCCAAAGGAAAAACGGAAGUGAUUCAUUGAUCAUCUUUGAGAAUACUCAAACUGAUUCACCGAACAAUGACCAGAGGAAAAAUGGCUUUAUUAGCAGAGUAAGAAGGGGAAAUUAGAGUUAACCUUUUUACUCAUUUUAUUUUUGUCAGUUCUCUCCUGCCAGACUUAAUUGCUCGCUCUUCCUUUCUGCCACUUCACACCUCCAAAGCAAUUUCCACUGCCGUGAAACGUGCUCCACGAACACAAAUAGGACUAGUGGGGAGCAUAGCUGCACCCAAUAAAAAGCCAGCAACCCCACUGCUUCCCCCUCUCGCGGAACCCUGAGCGUCCUCCUGUUGACUGCGGCGCCUCGAUGACGUCAGAGUCCACGUACAUCAUCCAUGUAGGUGAUGCUUCUGAAUGAAUGAGUGUCCCCUCCCAUCUCCAUUACUAGUACUACGGGACGACUAUAAGAGCAGAUCACCGGGGCAGCCCGCUGAAUUUUAUGAGACACCGGAAAACGGAUGCGGGACUUGGACAGAAAUCCGAAUCAGAGCUCUUUUUAUUUCUUCUUCUCCUUUUAAAAUCAUGAAAUAACCUUCAUCGUCAACGAUGCGCUUAGACAGAACGCGAUUCGUCUUUUAUUUUGUUUGCAUUUUUUGAAUAAAAGAUUUUUUUUUUUUUUAGAGGAGGUCGGGUUAUUUAAAGAGUUUGAUCGAGUCGUAAACCAUUAAAACCUCCGUUGGACCGGUGAAGUUUUUUUGUUUUUUUUAAAAAAAAAAAAAAAGCACACAGACAGAUCUGUCAAAUUGAGCGCCCGGGCGACCUGCGAUGUCCUGACGUCACCUUCACAGAUACCCAGCCGGGCUUGCAUAAGCGCCCAGCAUCGGCCCCGUCCCCCUGUGUUCCUGUCUGGGGCCCCGUCUUGCGGCUGACUCAUCCAUAACCGGCAUGGAAAUCGAUACGACAAACACGACAACAAGUGGGCUAUGUAACUGUCCUGCCUGGCCGUGCGUAUGACAAGCCUUAGGGCCUCUGCCAAUGGUGUGUGUGUGUGUGUGUGUGUGUGUAUGUGCUGCUCUGAGCAUCGUGUCACUCGGUGGUUUUGUUUAAGUCAAAGCUGUUUUGCACUUUACACCUUUGAUUUGUUUGUGUGGCACCGUUAUUAUAUUAAAAUAAAAUAAUAAUAAUAAUAAUAAUAAAACAAUGUUGGACCUUUUGCACUUCCCCCUCUUUGCAUGCCACCGGCUCCCUCCAAGCCCAAUCUGAACCCACUUUGCCUCAAGUCAGAGCAUCAAUACCUUGGCUCUAGACUGCUUACUGCCAAACCUGACCAGAAGUACAGUAACAGUCUACAGUCAUGGCUACUGACGCCUGGCGAACCUCUGCACGGCGAGUGUGACUCUGAUGAGCUGCGCGAAGCACCGAGGCUGCACGCAAACACACACACACACACACACACACACACACACACACACACAGAAACACACACCCCAACACGCGCAAACGUGUCGACGUCAGCGGUUACCACAGCCAACCCUCCUCUUCCCUCCUGCUGUCUCCAUGGCAACCGUGGCAUUAGAUUGUUACUGUAGCAACAGCACCACUGGUAACAGUCUACAGCCAUGGUCGCUAGGGGGCAAUACACACACCUAAAACCAGAUUAUUGGCGACGCGGAGGAAAAGACUGCAUGUUUUUACUUUCAGGGAGUCAAAGUGGGAUUAUGUAAUGCAUUUGACGAACUAAAGAGUCUGAGCGGCAGUCGGGUGAAUUCAGAGUGAGAUUAUCUUGAUGUUUGAAGUAGAUUCAUGUGGCUGACAGCUGCUGCUGAUUCCACUAUUUUACCUGGUUUCUUUGAAUAUGUGCAAAUUGGAAUGAGAUUAUUUUCUCUCUAAAUAAAGAAUUAUUCACAAGCCCCUGAGAACUGAUGUUUUCUUUGUGUGUCCCCCCCUCCCCCCAGUGAUUUUAAUACAUUUUUCUUUUUGGCCACAGUGUAAAAUGACGUGUCGAUUAUUCUGAUAUAGCAACGUUUUUGGUCGCGGCCUCGUCAGUGAAAUGACUUUUGUUUCUGCGAGCUCCGGCGAAUUCAAGCAGGACACAGACUCUUUAUGCCAAGUUGAACAAAAGCGCCUGAUUAUAAUCAGCUGAAAUUUUAAAACCAGUGAUUGACGUGGUGAUGAAAAAAUGAAUAAUAAUAAAAAAAAGAUUGCAGUCUUUGCAAUCCUUCAGCAGACAUUGGCUGCAGAUGAUUAGGACGUCCUCAUAACGUGUGGAAGAGUGAACUCUUAACAUUAGAGUUCAUGCUGUUUGAAGUUAAACAGAUGAGGAAGUAUAGGAAAAAAGUUCAUAAAUUAUUUAAUAAUGUUCGACUCUGUGCUAGAAUGUUUUAUUUAUUGUCUAGACGUACUUUGAAACAAAAAACUAGAAGCAAAUUCUCUUAGAUGUUCUGUCUGUGAAUGAGGUUGAAAAGUAAAUUUAUGAAAAUCAAUUCACAAAACUGUUGAAAAAUGUCUAAAUACGAUUCAAACCGUCCAGUUUUUAAGGGGAUUGUUCUGAUAAAUAGUAAAAUGGUAAAUGGACUGAACUUAUAUAGCGACUCUAGUAACUUUAAAACAAUCACUAUCUGACUUUGAGAAGUGUGUGUGUGUGGGGUGUGUGUGGGUGUGUGAGAAAGGAUUUUUCUAUGGGAAGAAAUGUUCAAUGUUAUUUGUCUGGACGUUAAAGAAGUCACCAUCAUGAACACGGAUAAGUUUACAUUUGCACACAAUGCUGAUUUUCUUGUACAAUGAUAAAAGACGAUAUUCUGACAACAAAACGGAUGGAAGAUUUUUUCCAAAAGGUUUUUUUUUGUUUCAUUGAAAGUACAAAGGCCAAACAUUAAAAACAUGAAGAUGGGGCGUGUUUUAUCUUUUGCAGGUCUGCAAUUACACUUAGCACAAAUCAAUACACGUGCAAAUGUUUAAUGUUAUGAAAAUAAUUGUAAGAUUAAACAGUCUGAUUAUGUCA
Xiphophorus couchianus (Monterrey platyfish) is the source of this 3057-nucleotide long non-coding RNA. RefSeq lists it as uncharacterized. The transcript is spliced from 2 exons. Lineage: Eukaryota; Metazoa; Chordata; Actinopteri; Cyprinodontiformes; Poeciliidae. The record is from RefSeq and is a predicted model, not a curated record.